CGGCAGGCCUAAACAUGCAAGUCGAGGGGUAACAGAGAGAAGCUUGCUUUUCUGCUGACGACCGGCGCACGGGUGCGUAACGCGUAUACAAUCUGCCUUAUACAGAGGGAUAGCCUUUAGAAAUGAAGAUUAAUACCUUAUAGUCUAUUUUUAUAGCAUUAUAUAAAUAGUAAAGCUUCGGUGGUAUAAGAUGAGUAUGCGUCCUAUUAGUUAGUUGGUAAGGUAACGGCUUACCAAGACAACGAUAGGUAGGGGCCCUGAGAGGGGGAUCCCCCACACUGGUACUGAGACACGGACCAGACUCCUACGGGAGGCAGCAGUGAGGAAUAUUGGACAAUGGAGGCAACUCUGAUCCAGCCAUGCCGCGUGCAGGAUGACGGCCCUAUGGGUUGUAAACUGCUUUUAUAUAGGAAGAAACCUUUUCACGUGUGAGAAGCUGACGGUACUAUAAGAAUAAGGACCGG
This 464-nucleotide ribosomal RNA is filed under the name uncultured bacterium. Its description in RNAcentral is "bacterial SSU rRNA". It matches the Rfam family "Bacterial small subunit ribosomal RNA", at positions 40 to 496 of the family's 1533-position model. The record is from RNAcentral.